UCCUCGGUAGGAUAGUGGUGAGUACCCCCCCCCCCCUGUGGUGAGUAUCCCCGCCUGUCACGCGGGAGACCGGGGUUCGAUUCCCCGCCGGGGAG
This is a non-coding RNA of Paramuricea clavata, 95 nucleotides long. The record is from the annotation of a GenBank genome assembly. NCBI's taxonomy places the organism in Eukaryota, Metazoa, Cnidaria, Anthozoa, Malacalcyonacea, Plexauridae.